Molecule: ribosomal RNA, 235 nt
Filed under: uncultured bacterium
Lineage: Bacteria
Description: partial 16S ribosomal RNA
Rfam family: Bacterial small subunit ribosomal RNA
Source: RNAcentral
UGGCGGACGGGUGAGUAAUGUCUGGGAAACUGCCUGAUGGAGGGGGGUAACUACUGGAAACGGUAGCUAAUACCGCAUAACGUCGCAAGACCAAAGAGGGGGACCUUCGGGCCUCUUGCCAUCGGAUGUGCCCAGAUGGGAUUAGCUAGUAGGUGGGGUAACGGCUCACCUAGGCGACGAUCCCUAGCUGGUCUGAAAGGAUGACCAGCCACACUGGAACUGAGACACGGUCCAG